RNAcentral lists this ribosomal RNA (253 nucleotides) under uncultured bacterium. RNAcentral's name for it is "partial 16S ribosomal RNA". It matches the Rfam family "Bacterial small subunit ribosomal RNA", at positions 524 to 776 of the family's 1533-position model. The record is from RNAcentral.
UACGAAGGGGGCUAGCGUUGUUCGGAAUUACUGGGCGUAAAGGGCGCGUAGGCGGUGUGUCAAGUCAGGCGUGAAAGCCCCGGGCUCAACCUGGGAACAGCGCUUGAGACUGGCACGCUCGAGUUCGGGAGAGGAUGGUGGAAUUCCCAGUGUAGAGGUGAAAUUCGUAGAUAUUGGGAAGAACACCGGUGGCGAAGGCGGCUCACUGGCUCGUUUCUGACGCUCAGGCGCGAUAGCGUGGGGAUCAAACAGG